GACGCGAUGAAGCACACGACAGCGAAGAUGAUUGCAAUUUCAGCAUGCUCCAUUCCCAGCAGCAAAUACUGGCAAGAUGACAUUGUAGCUGAGAAGAACACCAUGAAGGAGCAAGUUGCAGCCGUUACCUCAGGAACUAUUCCAACUUGAAGAAGGAAAGGGCUUAUAAGCAUGCCACCACCAAUUCCAAACAUGCCACCCAAAAUCCCAGCUAAAAAUGCCAUUACUGGGAAGAUCAGUUUCUUUGAUGGUUCAACUGCUGGC
Molecule: unclassified non-coding RNA, 264 nt
Filed under: Hevea brasiliensis (rubber tree)
Lineage: Eukaryota; Viridiplantae; Streptophyta; Magnoliopsida; Malpighiales; Euphorbiaceae
Source: RNAcentral